GGCUGAGAUUCACUGUGAUUUCAUGCUUUAGCAGGCCUCUUCGGUGCCUAAAGAAUCUUCAGAAUUCGCCGUGGGCAGGGUUGCGAAUGAGCGAGCGAGCCAGAAUCCGUGCUCGCUCAUUCAUGAGCAUGAGGACUUAACAGGUAGCUCGUGCUCGCUCAUGCUCAACGCAUGCGCUCGCGCUCAAUGAGCGCUCAUCAGCAAUACAGCAAGCAGCAGCCGUAAUGGUUCCGAACAAAGGGUCCUCCACAACGCACGAUGCAAGAAUACAGCGCACGCUAUUGAAUGUUGCCCAUACCGCCGGCCGCGGCCAUGAUCUAGAGAGUAUCUCAUCCCCGGAAAAGCAGAAGAAACGGUAAACUGUUGACCACGAGCAGUCAACUAGACAAAAAAAACAUUUCUAAAAUUUAGUGUACAACCUAAAAAUAUUACAUACAUCUAAAAAAUCAUGAUAUUGAGUGAUAUAAUAAGUAACUUAAAUACAACAAGUAACUUACAAAACAA
Culex quinquefasciatus (southern house mosquito) is the source of this 504-nucleotide long non-coding RNA. RefSeq lists it as uncharacterized. The transcript has 3 exons. The record is from RefSeq and is a predicted model, not a curated record. NCBI's taxonomy places the organism in Eukaryota, Metazoa, Arthropoda, Insecta, Diptera, Culicidae.